CUAACAGCGUUCAUUGGCAUUCUGUCCACCUCCUUGUUCAUCUCUCUUAUUAUCCGCCUCUCCCAUAGUCUAUGUCUAUGCGGUACGAAUGGAGGUGGGCAUGCUGCCAACAGAGCUUUGUUAG
This 124-nucleotide microRNA precursor is filed under the name Punica granatum (pomegranate). Its description in RNAcentral is "MIR394 microRNA precursor family". It matches the Rfam family "MIR394 microRNA precursor family". Lineage: Eukaryota; Viridiplantae; Streptophyta; Magnoliopsida; Myrtales; Lythraceae. The record is from Rfam by way of RNAcentral.